AUUGAACGCUGGCGGCAGGCCUAACACAUGCAAGUCGAGCGGUAGAGAGAAGCUUGCUUCUCUUGAGAGCGGCGGACGGGUGAGUAAUACCUAGGAAUCUGCCUGAUAGUGGGGGAUAACGUUCGGAAACGGACGCUAAUACCGCAUACGUCCUACGGGAGAAAGCAGGGGACCUUCGGGCCUUGCGCUAUCAGAUGAGCCUAGGUCGGAUUAGCUAGUUGGUGAGGUAAUGGCUCACCAAGGCUACGAUCCGUAACUGGUCUGAGAGGAUGAUCAGUCACACUGGAACUGAGACACGGUCCAGACUCCUACGGGAGGCAGCAGUGGGGAAUAUUGGACAAUGGGCGAAAGCCUGAUCCAGCCAUGCCGCGUGUGUGAAGAAGGUCUUCGGAUUGUAAAGCACUUUAAGUUGGGAGGAAGGGCAGUUAUCUAAUACGUGAU
RNAcentral lists this ribosomal RNA (441 nucleotides) under Pseudomonas sp. oral taxon B99. RNAcentral describes it as "bacterial SSU rRNA". It matches the Rfam family "Bacterial small subunit ribosomal RNA", at positions 30 to 469 of the family's 1533-position model. The record is from RNAcentral. Lineage: Bacteria; Pseudomonadati; Pseudomonadota; Gammaproteobacteria; Pseudomonadales; Pseudomonadaceae.